GAUAUACUCCCUCCAUUCCAAAUUACUUGACUUUCAUUUGUCUAAAUACAAAUGUAUAUAUACUUGUUUAGUGUUUAAAUACAUCUGUAUCUACACAAAUGGAGGUCAACUAAUUUGAAACGGAGGGAGUAUAUG
This is a non-coding RNA of Triticum aestivum (bread wheat), 135 nucleotides long. Lineage: Eukaryota; Viridiplantae; Streptophyta; Magnoliopsida; Poales; Poaceae. The record is from Rfam.